AGAGUUUGAUCUUGGCUCAGGAUGAACGCUGGCGGCGUGCCUAAUACAUGCAAGUCGAGCGAACCACUUCGGUGGGAAGCGGCGAACGGGUGAGUAACACGUAGGUAAUCUGCCCAUCAGACGGGGACAACGAUUGGAAACGAUCGCUAAUACCGGAUAGGACGAAAGUUUAAAGAUGCUCCUGGCAUCACUGAUGGAUGAGCCUGCGGCGCAUUAGCUAGUUGGUGGGGUAAAGGCCUACCAAGGCGACGAUGCGUAGCCGACCUGAGAGGGUGAACGGCCACACUGGGACUGAGACACGGCCCAGACUCCUACGGGAGGCAGCAGUAGGGAAUCUUCGGCAAUGGGCGAAAGCCUGACCGAGCAACGCCGCGUGAAUGAAGAAGGCCUUCGGGUUGUAAAAUUCUGUUAUAAGGGAAGAAAGGUGAUAGGAGGAAAUGACUAUCAAUUGACGGUACCUUAUGAGAAAGCCACGGCUAACUACGUGCCAGCAGCCGCGGUAAUACGUAGGUGGCAAGCGUUAUCCGGAAUUAUUGG
RNAcentral lists this ribosomal RNA (537 nucleotides) under uncultured bacterium. Its description in RNAcentral is "bacterial SSU rRNA". It matches the Rfam family "Bacterial small subunit ribosomal RNA", at positions 8 to 557 of the family's 1533-position model. The record is from RNAcentral.